GUGUUAGAAGGUUCUCCUGGAGCUGCAGGUGUUAGAAGGUUCACCUGGAGCUGCAGGUGUCUGAAGGUUCUCCUGGAGCUGCAGGUGUUAGAAGGUUCUCCUGGAGCUGCAGGUGUUAGAAGGUUCACCUGGAGCUGCAGGUGUCUGAAGGUUCUCCUGGAGCUGCAGGUGUCUGAACGUUCUCCUGGAGCUGCAGGUGUCUGAAGGUUCUCCUGGAGCUGCAGGUGUUAGAAGGUUCACCUGGAGCUGCAGGUGUCUGAAGGUUCUCCUGGAGCUGCAGGUGUCUGAAGGUUCACCUGGAGCUGCAGGUGUUCCAGGUGUUUCUGGAAACUGUCUGUUCUUGAUUUGUGCCUUUUUAUCAACAGUUGAGUUCUUGAACGUCGCCUGUCUUGAUUGUUUCCAGCAGACCGAACUCUGCUUCGUACACUGGAUGAAUCACAACCUUCAUUCUUCUCAUCAUCUUCAUCUUUGUGUUUGGACACUGUUGCCACGGCAACGACGCAUGACCACUUGCUGUUUCUGAUUAUUUAUCAGUGAUGGGCUGUAUUGGGGAACGAUCAGCAGCGCUCCUGCCGAUGCGAGGACUCGUCCAGCCGUCCUGAUGCCUUCUCCUCCCUCCUACCUUGUAAUUAAGAGAAGACUUUUAUAGAGGUCACAGAUGAAAUAGAUAAAAUGCCAAUUUUGUAAGAAUGAUUUAUAAAAAAAAAAUAAACUCAUAUUUGAUGAUAACUGCAUCUCUGUCCUGUUUGUUAACACACUGGUUUU
This is a long non-coding RNA of Amphiprion ocellaris (clown anemonefish), 765 nucleotides long. The record is from Ensembl. Lineage: Eukaryota; Metazoa; Chordata; Actinopteri; Pomacentridae.